CCUACGGGUGGCAGCAGUGAGGAAUAUUGGUCAAUGGGCGCUAGCCUGAACCAGCCACGUAGCGUGAAGGAUGACUGCCCUAUGGGUUGUAAACUUCUUUUAUAUGGGAAUAAAAUGUUCCACGUUUGGGCUGUUUUAUGUACCAUAUGAAUAAGGAUCGGCUAACUCCGUGCCAGCAGCCUCGGUAAGACGGUGGAUCCGACCGUUAGCCGGAUUUAUUGGGUUUAAAGGGAGCGUAGGUGGAUUGUUAAGUCAGUUGUGAAAGUUUGCGGCUCAACCGUGAAAUUGCCGGUGAAACUGGCAGUCUUGAGUACAGUAGAGGUGGGCGGAAUUCGUGGUGUAGCGGUGAAAUGCUUAGAUAUCACGAAGAACUCCGAUUGCGAAGGCAGCUCACUGGACUGCAACUGACACUGAGGCUCGAAAGUGUGGGUAUCAAACAGGAUUAGAUACCCCUGUAGUC
Molecule: ribosomal RNA, 460 nt
Filed under: uncultured bacterium
Lineage: Bacteria
Description: partial 16S ribosomal RNA
Rfam family: Bacterial small subunit ribosomal RNA
Source: RNAcentral